CAAUGGAUUUUAUUUUAUUGUAUUAUUUAUAUAGGGUAUUUAUACAGAAACAGACUUUUAAAUUUGAAAAAUAUUCACUACAGUAUAAACCAGCUUGAGUCUGCCUGAGAGUUGAAUAAAAGGCCACUAAAGUACAACAAAUCUGUUGAGACAAAUGCCUGACAUGAAAGAAGUAACAUUUUUAGACUUUCACACCAGUUUUCUUUCACAAAAGUUUAAGAACUUGUCUCUAUGUAGAACAGUGUAACAUCUUGUAUUGCAACCAAAAUAAAUGGUGCAUGAGAACUGGAUUGAUUUCUAAAUGCAGGCAGUAGCUCUAAGCUCUUUUUUGUUCAUGGCCACACAAUAAUUAUUUCACUGAAAGAAUGAUGUUUUCAAUGCAUCUGGCUCUUGUUUUGUUGGCCAUAUGUUUAAUACCACAAAUUAGCUUUUCGUAUGAGCUUCAAGAUACAAUUCACACUCUGAGAGAGGAGAACGUGUACCUAUAUCACAGACUGAGAAAGCUCACACAGACUCUGCGAGAGCUGAGAAAACUUCUGGAUCACUCACAUGAGUCUGCUGCGGAUCAUGAUAGUGACAAAUUGCAUGCCUGGAAUGAAUGGAUUAAGAAUGGUAUCAGCACAGAGAUUCGUCUCAUGUUAGAACAAGCUUUCUGCUUGCCAGAUCUUCAUGCCAAGGCUGAUUUAUAUUUCCUAGAAGAAAUUCUUCUUGUUCUGUCAAGUCUCAUUUGGAUUGGGAUUCUUCUCAUGUAAAUAUGGUCAUAAUAUCCUAACCUAACCUUCUUUUUUAACCUUUUUGUUGACUCCUUAUAUUCAUCAGAAAAGCUCAUGCUAAUGGAUUGCUAACAUUAGUUAACUACAA
Carassius carassius (crucian carp) is the source of this 861-nucleotide long non-coding RNA. RefSeq lists it as uncharacterized. The transcript has 3 exons. NCBI's taxonomy places the organism in Eukaryota, Metazoa, Chordata, Actinopteri, Cypriniformes, Cyprinidae. The record is from RefSeq and is a predicted model, not a curated record.